RNAcentral lists this long non-coding RNA (5384 nucleotides) under Gossypium barbadense (sea-island cotton). RNAcentral's name for it is "long non-coding RNA (GBAR_LNC001673)". Lineage: Eukaryota; Viridiplantae; Streptophyta; Magnoliopsida; Malvales; Malvaceae. The record is from RNAcentral.
GCUUUUUAAAAGUGAAAAAACCCCAUCAGCUUCAUUUCUCUUCUCCCCAGCCACAAGCAAAAGGCAUUUUUCUUGCUUAUUUCUUCAGUUUCUCUCAAAAUUUCAACUAUCCCCCUUAAAAUUUUGGUAAAAUCUCAACGAAGACCACCUAUUGAACUUAUUUCCUCCAUCAAUCUCUUAAAUUUCAGUUAGGGUUUCAUGGGUUAUAGUGAGGGAAAGCUAUGACCAGUGAGACGAAGCUUUCAAUAAGGUAAAAGAAUAGCUUCCUACAUCUCUAUUAGAUUGAUAUUUAUUGAGAAAUAUUAUGAGCUUGAAAAGAAUUUAUAUUCAUUUUUGAAUGAAUUUUAUUGUAUGAAAAUUAGGAAAUGAUGAUUUAAGGAUUUCCAAGUUUGAUUGGUGUUCAUGUAAGCAUGAUUAAGUGUUGUAGAGCAUCCAUUAAGGUAGGUUAGUAAGCUCAGGUAACUAUGAAUAAAUUAUUUAAUUAUGAUUUUAAUUAUGUUAAUAAUCAUGUGGAAGUCCAUGGCACAAUAUGUAACACCUCAAAAAUUUCAGCAUCGGAUUUUGUGUGAAUCGAGAUAAAUUCGGUAAAAGAAAUAAAUUUAUAAUAAAUUAAUUUUGAAAAUUUUUGGAUGAAUUGUUAAAAUAUAAUUUUGUUAGUAUUUCUUAUGUGUCAUGGACAUAUUUGGAAUUCUAUAUAAUUCUGAGAUUAAAAUAAAUUCCGAUUUUAUUUUAGAGAUUAAAUUGAAAUUUCAAUAUUCAGAGGACUAAACUUGCAAUUAACUUUUCUUUCAUUUGUUUUAGAAUGUUGUGGCGCGUGUGUUGUAUUAUUAUUAUUAUUGGUGGUGUUGUUAUGUUUAAAUAGAUUUUGGAUUUUCUAUUAAUAUAAUGUGGUAUUAUAUUUCUAGAAUAAUUAAAAGUAGAACUAUUAAAAGCCCUUAAAUUUAUCAAAUUUCCCUUUUAUUGUUUUUCAUAUAUGCUUUUUCUAUAAAUGAUUUUAUGAAAUUAGGAUACCUUGAAAAUAGUAUCAUUUCUAAUAAUUUAAUGUUAUUUCACCUUUUUUAUCUUGAAAAAAAAUUAAAUUCAACAGAAAUUUAAAAUAAAAAUACUAAAAUAACAUUAAAUUAUUGAAAAUAGAUAUCUUAUGCUUUCCCUUGCUGCAAGCCACUAUUCUCCCAAAUUUCCGCCUUCAAUUGCCUUCAAUAUUCUUUUCUUCUCUUUCUGGCUUCCAAUUGCCUUACUUGAGCCGUCUGAGUUACCACCGUUUGCAAUCCAAUUAGUGCUGCCAAUUUUUGCUGCGUUGCCGCUCCAAAACCUUGCUACCUGCCGCCGACCUUACCCAAUACAACUGCUGCCAUCAAUUGUUAUGAUGUCGCCCAAGCUGUUGUUAUCAUGACCACUCUCUUGUUUGCUCCGUUUGCCAUAACAAAAAAAUGAAAAAGCAAUAAGGUGGUAUACUUUUUUCGGAUUGCUACAUCAUUGUCAAUCGAUUUGUUGCAUCCGUAUCAAAAUAAUUGCCGCAGUCUUGUUUCCAAUCUUAGCCGCUGUUUUGAUCUCCAAAUUCCCACUAAUUUUCGACCAAAAUUACCAUUAAAUUGCUGUUGCUUGGUACUGUCAUUAGCUUCUAUUACUUUAAUUGAUUUAAUUUAUUUCUGCCCACUAUUUGCUUUAACGUCAAGUUUCAUUGUUUUGGUUUUAGUAUUUUUAAGUAAUAAUUUUGCAUUAUUGGUAAUGGUUUUUAAAGGACGUUUUACUUCUCUUGUUGUGAUAUAGAUGUUCUUUUAUUUUAAUUCUCAUGAUUAAUGCUUUGAAUGAUAUUGAUUCAUAUUGUUCUAAAUUUUGAAUAACUAAGGUUAAUUUAUUUAGAUUAAGGUCAUGAUAUUUGUUUAUUUAGAUUUAAAUAAAUUUUAGGAUGGCAUAUUAUAUUAGAUUAAUUAUUAUAUGUAUUAAGAUUAAGUUGAAUUUGGUUUAGGUUAAGUAGAAGUUGAGUUGUAUCGGUACACUAGCUCCUUUGUAUCUGUAGAAGUUUCUCAAUCUUUGUAAAAAUGAUUUUAAUAGGAUAUUUUCCAAAGUGUUUUGAACAUUUAAACUCGUGAAAUAUAUUUGAAGACAUGUUGAACCAUUUUUUUUUAUGAGUUUGAGAGUACUUGAAAUUAAUUUUGUAGGAUUUUAUCAUUAAUCACAAAAUUAUAAUUCAACUUGGUUAUAUCAAAACAUUUAAAAAUCAGGGCUAACAUAAAAGUUAAAUUAACUUCUUUAAAUUAUUUUUUAAUUGAAUGUAAUUAAAUAAUAGAGUUCAAAGUGAGGAAUGAAAUUAAUUAGUCAUCAUUAUACUGAAUAAGAUAAUUAAAUUUAUUUACUCAUAAAUUCUAAUACGGUAAUGUUGUCAUGACUUUGAUGGAAUUAAAAUUAGAAUUUGAUUGAGCAAAUAAUUUAAUUGAAUUAAUUAAUUAAUAUUUUGGAAAUAAAAAAUUAGUUAUUGGGUUGGAUAAUUAAAUGAAAUUAAUAUAAUUUAAUUUAAAAUUAAGUUGCACGUAUAAUUGUACCCAAUACAUGAAAGGCUUAGAGAGCCCAAUCAAUGGGCAAGUUGGCAACCAUUACGGGAGAGGCUCUUUAUGUUUGUUGCCCACCUUGCUAGAGUUUUUCCAAAACUCCAAUUUUCUAUUAAAUAAUAUUUUCUCCCUCUUCCUAUUUUAGUAUACCUCUUAUAAUUUUUUCCUAUAUGUAAGGAACAGGGGGCUGUAACACCCUUAUACACGACCUGAUUGCCAAGUCUGAGCUAUAGGGUACUACAUUCAUUGUGGGAGCAAUUACAAUCAAUAAAAUUCAAUUUCAACAUCAUUAUACAUUUAAAUCUAAAUAGUCCAUGCAUGUUAUACGAUAUGUUAUCAGUUUCGAGGCUUAUACGAGCUUACAAAAGCUCUUUUUUCUAACACGUGAUCAAAAUUGGACCAAAUUGUAAAGAAUACAAAAUUUUGAGUCGACGUCGCAACUUUAGGGUUUCUUCAUUACCGCAUGACUGUUUGAUUAGGGUUUGUUAUGACCUCAAAGUAACGAUGUUGUUGUGAGAACCCUACUCUAUUCCUAGUCACAAGGGUAGGGGUUUGUUGUUGCGAUGUUAUAACUUGUUACUUUCAAAUUCAACUUGUUACAAGUUAAAAAGACCUAAAAUCACUUAUAUACAUUCGCAUGCAAUCAAUUCAUAAACCAACCAAACGAUUUCAAGUGAAAAUAUACCAAAUAGUAAUCUUCAAAAAAUCAACUAUCCAAUUUAACUUCAACUAUUCAUACUUCAAAAUCAACCAAAGUACGUUCAAAUGCAUAACCAUUAAUCUUAAAACUCAAAACCAACUAUAUGAACACAUCUAAACACCAAUUCAAAACAUUAGCAUAUAAUCAUAUUAUAUACAACUUAAACAUUUCAAAAUUUUAGCCAAAAGUCCCUAGGCACAUUCUACAAAAACAAAAUAAACGAACUAUACAAACUUUGUUGAAUCGAAAUUGGUGAUCUGGAUGCUAACUUCAAUUCUAGGGGCCACGAAGAAUACUUGAACCUAUGCAUGGAAAAAAAAAUCCGUAUGCUAAGGAAUAGGCUCAGUGGUACAUUUCCAAUUCAAGAUAUAUGCAACAUAAGGUUUAACAUUAUAUUUCAAGCUAAAACAUGCAACUUGUACAUAAUACCUAGCCAAUUCAUUUGCAUACUAUUAACCUUUCUAUCAUCCAUCAAAAUACACAAGAUGUAACACUCGAUUUUCAAUGGUGUAGGAAACGACGAUUUUGGAACCCCAUUUCUAUAAUUCGAGUUCAUAAAUAAUAAAAAUUAAUAUCUACAAGGUUCAUAUAGAUAUAUAUUAAAUUUUGUUCCAAUAUUUUUUCCUAAUUGAUAAUUAAUUAAAGUACAAUGACUAAACUGUAAAAGUUUAUCGCUAUAGGUUUUUAAAUAGCCAAAUGACCAUAUGAAUAAUUAGACCAUUUUAAAUGGUCAAUCGGUGGUGGAUGUUGAUAAAACCCAAUAAAUUUUGUUAAUUUAGCUUAAGUUUUGAUUAAAUAAGGUUUAAUUAAACUAUAUAAGACAAAUUAAAAAGAAACAAAGGCCAUAUUUUUCUUCUAUCCAUCUACUUCACCGAAACAAAAGAGAAAGAAUAGGGUUUAAAGCUUCAAAACAUUUGGUCCCUCAAAUUGGUAAGUUAUUAAGUCUUUUCAUGUAAUCUUUAUGAUUUUAAGGUCAUGAGAGCUUGAUUUAGCUAGCCUAUAUAUCAAUUUGUAAAACUGUUAAAGUUUUUGAAAGUUUUCAUUAUCAAUUUAUUGAAGAAAUUGGUGUUAAGUUGAUAAAUUUUAAGCUUAAAUGUAAAAAAAAAGAGACUAGAUUGUAAAGUUUAAUUUUUAGUUUUAUUAAAAAGGAUCAAAGUGUAUAAAUUGUGAAAAUAAUGUGAAAUUUCUUUAAUAAUAGAUAGUAGAGGAUCUUAUAAGGAUGUAAUUGAGAUCAGUUUUGAAACCGAAGUUUAAAUUUGAAAGAUAUUGUUAUUUAGGUUUCAAGUACUAAAUUGAAUAAAAUUAAAAAAUUUAGGAGAAUUAAAAAAAUGGAAUUAAACUGGUUCAUGCAUAUAAUGGGAUGCUAUAAAAAUGUUUGGUAUUGAUAAAUUGAAUUAAAUAAUUGUAUAAAUUGAAAAUUGAACCAAACUGAGAAUAAUGGGGAAAUGACAAAAUUGUAGAAUAGUCCUGAAAGAUAGAAUUGCUUAUAGUUUUGCCAGGUGAGUUCAUAUGGUAUGAUUGUAUUUUAAAUUGUUAUGUAUUUGAAUUAUAAAUAUGUGUGUGUUUGGUUGUAAUUUGAAUUGUUUGUGAAUUGGUACAAAAUGUGAGAUAUGAACUAAAUUGUAAAGAAAUGGAUAUAUGUGUUAAAGAUGCCCGAGUGAACUUAACAAAGAUUAGGAUAAAAUUGACAUGUACAUAGGGCUAUAUGCUCGCUUGUACAGGAAAUAUGAUUGUACAGAGAUCAUUACUGUGUAUAUCAAGAUCCAACAUUUGUUAUGGAUCACUGAAUAUUAUAUGUCUCUAUGGAGACCCUAGUGUGGUGGAGGAUUGUAUUAUUAUACGAUUAUUCAUAUGAUUGCCUACGGGCUUUACAAUUUGGUGCUCUGGUGUGGUGAAGUUACUACUCGGACGAGCAAUCUGGUGUGGUAUGGUUACCCUGUAUCCAAAUCUGUUCACUAGAGUUCAUUGGGCUUAAUUGUAACAUCUCAAACCCGGCCUAGACGUUAUGGCCAAAUUUAGAGAUGUUACUGUAAUCUCAUUCGAAAACCAUAAUUCAUUGUCGUAAGUUCUAAUUACACAAAAAUCCAGUUUAUUUUAAAGCAUAUAUUACUUAACCGAUUUAAUGAAAACGAUGU